This 5641-nucleotide long non-coding RNA is filed under the name Sus scrofa (pig). RNAcentral describes it as "lncRNA (ENSSSCG00035054365.1)". The record is from RNAcentral. Lineage: Eukaryota; Metazoa; Chordata; Mammalia; Artiodactyla; Suidae.
UUUUUUUUUUUUUUUUUUUUUGUGAAAGGAAAGUUAAUUUGGCAAGGUGAAAAAGAUGGCCCUCAGUCCUCUAUCUAGGCUCCCUGGUAAAAGAGUCCAGUCUAUGGAAAGAUCCUCCCCAAAGAUGAGCCACGAUCCAGCAAACCCUUCUUCACCCCUCAGGCUGAAGUCUGCAAAAAACAGAAGAUGACAUUUAGGGCUUUUACAGAGUUGGCAAACCUUUCAAAUCCUGCCCUUUAAUUAAUGAUCUGCUUUGUAAAACUAGGUAGCUAUAGUAGACAGUUCCACCCACAUGUGAAUCACUUAUUUUAGUAAGAAAAAACAUUGGCAUUUACGAAUGGACUUUGGGCUGUCACUACAUGUUGAUGAGAACAUUAUGCUCUUUGUCAAGCUGAGUUCCCAAUACACCCAGAGGCAGCACAGAUUUCGGUGGCAUCACCGCUGGUGUUGGGAAAGGAGGUGAGGAUUGGUUUCAACGACCCUGGGGAAUGUUACCCUCUCUGCAGACCUGGGCCAAAUGACUCCUUGCAAUGCAGACAAGAAGAGGUUAAAAGCUAAGUUUUCAUGUAAAAAUGUUUAUAGUUCAUAUUCCUCCAUAUAAACAUUUGGGGGGGGGGAAAUAAAUCCUCCAGCUUGGCAUGAAAAGAUUAGAUUCUACCCCAAACACUGGUUUGGAACUCGUCCCAAAAGAAAGCUGUCUGAUCAAAUUGCUGCAAUCUUAAGUGGUAAAAACAAUGUGUUCUAUUUAAAUACAGCCAUCAGAUUUUUCUAAUCAUAGUAUAAGAACCCUCAAAAUCAUCUGAUCUGAAAUCUUUGGAAUACAAAAGUUUUGUGAUGGAGGAUGGAUCACUCCUUGGAGGCCUCUAGGAACUCCACAAAGCUUGUCUUGGCAGCAACUAUAGGAUUCUUAAUUGCCUUAUUCUUCAUGCAUGUAAAAACCUGUAUUUUUUCGGGAGUUCCUGGUAUGGCUCAGCAGAUUAAAAAUCUGACUAGUAUCCAUGAGGAUGUGGGUUCAAUCCCUGGCCUUGCUCAGUGGGUUAGGGAUCCAAUGUUGUUGUGACCUGUGGUGUAGACUGCAAACGCAGCUUGGAUCCCAAGUUGCUGUGGCUGUGGUGCAGGCUGGAGUUCCCGUUGUGGCUCAGGGGUAACAAACACGACUAGUAUCCAUGAGGUUUUGGUUUUGAUCCCUGGCUUAGCUCAGUGGGUUAAGGAUCCAGCAUUGCUGUGAGCUGUGGUGUAGGCCAGCAGCUGUAGCUCUGAUUCGACCCCUAGCCUGGGAACUUCCAUGUGCCAUGGGUGAGGCCCUUAACAGAAAAAAGAAAAAAGAAAUGGAUACUUCUGGAUUCAAGCUCUAGAAACAUUUCCAUAUUGGAGCUGAGAACUCUAAAAAUAAUAUUUUAGCAGUAAGUAUUUGAUAUUCAAGAGCCAACAUUUAGAGCAAGCUGAAAGUGUGUGUGUGUGUGUUUCAGGAGUAGGAGGACCUAACUUUAGGGCAUGUGUGAAGCUUCACCCACUUCCACCUGAAGCACAAACCAAGGAAAUGAGAGCAAUUUAACAAUGGAGGGACACAUGUUCCUUGUGCAGUUUGGUUGCCAAAUCACUUCUGAUCCUUUAAUACAUGGCAGAGGCACCCCAUUCUUUAAAGCUUCUUUAUUGAAUUAAACUGUGGACUCCAGGAGGUUGAAGACCAUGGUUCAUACCCAGAAAGCCUGUGUUUCUGAAUCCCAACAUCCAGUAUAACCCUAGUACAUAAAGUACUACAAAUAUGAUUGAUAAAUAAAAGGAAUCAAUGAUUUAGUAAACAUGUACUUAGAAAACUGCUUUGACUGUGAAAUCUAAGACUUUACUUAAUAAAAUCAGCUUAUGAUAUUUAGGUUGAACAAACAGCUGUUUGGGUUUUGAAAGCUACAACUUCUUAAUUCUUCCUUGAUUGUUUCUCUUUCCCUGAGAUUAACGAUUUUCAAACAAAUAUUAAGGUCAAUGACAGCAUUGUUAGAACUGUGUGAUGAUAUUUAAGUGCACCACAGGUUUAAGUAUAGUAAAAUAAUAAAUGAAAUAGAUCUGUAUUUCAUAAGUACCUAUACUAGAUUAAAAUUUCCUAAUCCCUCACCUGAGAUAUUCUUAAAACUCUGUCCUCUAAUAUGGCAGUGGCUUUGCAGGAAAAUUUCAUAGGGUUCACAUAUUACUGAAAGGAAAACUGCAAAAAUCUAAAAAUUCCAAUGGGAUAAAAACAAAACAACUUCAGAUAUUUUGAAAUCCUUCAAGUUUUCCUGAAAAUAUUAACUUUAAGUCUCUUUGGGUGUUUUCACACCAGAUCCCUUAUAAUCAAAUAGAGAGUUCCCAUUGUGGCACAGUGGAAAUGAACCUGACCAGUAUCCAUAAGGAUGCGGGUUUGAUCCCUGGCCUCACUCAGUGGAUUAUAAGAAUCUGGCAUUGCUGUGAGUUGUGUAGGUCGCAGAUACAGCUCAGAUCCCUUGUUGCUGUUGCUGUGGCUGUGGCGUAGGUUGGCAGCUAUAGCACCAAUUAGACCACUAGCCUGGGAACUUCGAUAAGCCACGGGUAUGGCCCUAAAAAGCAAACAAACAAACAAACAAAACCACAAACAAAAAAGCCCACAGAACAGCUCCCUGUUUAAAAAACUGUGGUUUUGUUUGUUGUAAUUGCCCUUUCAUUUGACUUGUAUAAUCCACAUCUUUAUAUUUUCAGACUGCAUUCACAGUUUUAAGGUCAAAAACUGUACUUUUCCAUGUUGAAUUACUGGCGAGUAUGUUUUCUACAUUGAAUUACUUGGCAACCAAGGGAAGGUUCUUUAUGGACUGGACUCAAAAGCUCUUGUUUACUGUGAAUCCUGAAUUCAGUUCUCAAAGCAAAUGUCAUCCACACAAUAGCUCUGUUGUGGGUUCAGAACCAAGUUCCGUUUCAACACGAGUAAAUUCCUCAUCAGGCCUUGUUCUGCAGACAUGUGGUUUCAGUCGGCCACUCUAGUGUCACCUCAGAAUGUCUUUAAUAGUUUGAUUAAGUUAUAAAUAUUACAGAUAACCAGCUGUUUAAAGUAUUUUUGUGCUUACCUGCUACCUAGCUCUGAGCUUGUACCCACCGUUCCAUCUAGUAUCUGAUGCAGAAACUAAAACGCUGCUUAUUGGUGGUCUAAUUUUGAGGAGUUAUUUUUUUUUAACUUUCCCCUUAUAUUUUCCCACAUAUUUUACAAAGAGCGUGUAUUAGUUUUGUAAUAAGAGAAAAAUAAACUCUGUUUAGAAAAAAACAAAAGCGGUGUCAAGGGUCAAUAGCAAGAUGUUUUGUAUAGAAGAAAAAGAUUCUUUUUUUGGCUGCCAGUGAAAUCUCUGAUCUAAUAUUCUGGCAGACUAUGAAACCACUUCAGAAAGAAUUUUACUUCCUACCAGAAUUAUAGAAACAGCUCUAGUUCUACAGUGUUGAAAAGAUUGUCCACAUCUCUCCCCACUCGGUUCCACUGUAGUUCAGAAGAUGUUUGAAUUUCAAAAUGUGUAGACAAGAGGUAAAGCAGUGCUUUGCAGACCACAUGAGGCCCAAAUACUGUUCUCUUUGAGGACCACAUGAUUUAAAAACUGAAAUCGAUGCCCCUGGCAUGAACAUUUAGUUCCUGACUUCACACCUUUAGGUAACACGCCUGGCACCUGAGGGCAUUUGAAUUUGACACCCUUGGGCCAGCGGUUAGUAAAAAAUGGACAGAGAUGGUGUGACUAAGACAUGUUAGGCAAAGGAACAAUUGUGCUAACAUCACUAUUCUGCUCCUGGUUUUGCACUUGGGAAAAACUAAUUUUGGAAAUAAAGAAUUACAGUUAAAUCAGUAUCCACAAACUCAUGCCUCCUACAUAACCUCAUGUAAUUUUCUCCCCUAUAUCUUCCUCCCUAUUUAGUUCAUUCUGCACACGACUUCCCAGCUAAUCUUCCUAGAGCCUAACUUUACUCAUGUAGUUACUGUUUAUUCAUUCAUUCUUCUUUAGUAGGUGCAAAGAUCCCUUUUUAGGAACUAAGGAAACAAAAAUGGAUAUGAAGCUCACAGUCUCACAGCAUCUGAAGGGGACAGAGAUGAAUAUUAAAAGGGACAGGACUGUGAUAGUUGGGAGGAACUGAGUGCUGUGGAAACGGUACAGAGCCUGUGACUGCCUGGGAAAGUGUUCCAAAGGUGACACGGAGAAGGAUGAUCAAGUCUGAGAGAGGUAUUCCAGGACAAAGGAGGGCAAGCCCAAAGCCUGGGUUCAAGGGAAAGCUUGGGAGAUUCAGGGAACUGUAAUUAGUUUGGUUUGACUGGAUCACCAGAGAGUAAGGAAUGGAGAAAAAAGAAAUUCGCAUUAUUCAGUCAUUCAAUGAUUCAUCUGGUAAAUUGUUUAGUGAUUUGCUGUGUGCCAAACAUUAAGGAUACAAUAGUGAUUUAUACAGUCACACCAUUUGUUACACAAAUACCACAGUCUGAUGAGAAAUGGGGAAGUAAGGAGGCCAUACAGUAGAGUGUAGUAAGUCCUAUAAUAAAUACUACGGGUCAAGGAAACAGAGAAGGGUAUGCAGAGGUAGACAGGAAUACAGUGGAUUUUCUGAUGUGCUGCCCAGACAAUCCUCAGAUGACAUUCACCUGGGUCAUACUGCCUUCCCAGGAUGGCCUGCUUCCACUUUGAACAACUGUGGUCAGUCUAGCCACAGAGCCUCCCGUUGGUGGGGCUAAGAGGGCUUUGGUGGGGCUGCAGCACAGCUCAACUUCUCCCUCUGCCCAAUCUUGCCUCCUUCCUCACCUUCCAUGAAUGAUGACCCACAAGGAACUCUCUCAUAGAUAUCCUGAAAAUUAGUCUGUAUUUCAGAGUUCCUUUUCUGGACAGAUAAUGGAGUGGCCUUGAAGGCCAUUUUAAAUUGGAUUUAAAUGCUGUGAGCAAAUGAAGCUAACUUGAUCAUAUGUAUAUGUUGAAAGGGUGCAAAACUGAAGAUAGUGGCCUUGACAGUGGGUUGGAGAAAAAGAAAUGGAUGCACGAGGUACUUAUAGGUAAUAUUGACCGGAUUUGGUGAUUGAUUAUAGAUAGCAGGCAAGGUAAAAUUAUUUAUCUUUGGCUUGGGGAAAGAAUAAAUUUUGGUGACAUCAAUGAAGAUGGAAAAUACAGUGGAAGAAGCAGGAUCAUUAAUGACAAAUGACAAAUUCUCUUUUGGACCUGUCGAACUUAAAGUAAAUUCAAUGCAGUAGGAUGUAGGUGAUGCUUGGCAGAUGCAAUUAUACCUCUUUUUACUAUGUUUCACAGACAUUGGGCUUUUUUACACAUUGAAGGUUUGUGGUGACCCCUUGGUGUCUAGUGAGUCUAUUGGUGCCAUUUUUCCAAUAGCAUUUGCUUACCUCUUUUCUUUGUGUCAGACUUUGGUAAUUCUCUCAAAAUUUCAAACUUUUGGAGUUCCCAUCAUGGCUCAGUGGAAAUGAAUCUGACUGGCAUCCAUGAGGACAUAGGUUUGAUCCCUGGCCUGGCUCAGUAGGUUAAGGAUCUGGCAUUGCCGUGAGCCGUGGUAUAGGUCACAGAUGUGGCUUGGCUCUGGCAUUGCUGUGGCUGUGGUGUAGGCCAGUGGCUACAGCUCUGAUUUGACCCCUAGCCCGGGAACUUCCAUAUGCCACAGGUACAGCCCUAAAAAG